UCAAAUCAUCAUGCCCCUUAUGCUUAGGGCUACACACGUGCUACAAUGGGUAGUACAGAGGGUUGCCAAGCCGUAAGGUGGAGCUAAUCCCUUAAAGCUACUCUCAGUUCGGAUUGUAGGCUGAAACUCGCCUACAUGAAGCUGGAGUUACUAGUAAUCGCAGAUCAGAAUGCUGCGGUGAAUGCGUUCCCGGGUCUUGUACACACCGCCCGUCACACCACGGGAGUUGGAGACGCCCGAAGCCGAUUAUCUAACCUUUUGGAAGAAGUCGGCGAAGGUGGAAUCAAUAACUGGGGUGAAGUCGUA
This 306-nucleotide ribosomal RNA is filed under the name Clostridioides difficile. RNAcentral describes it as "bacterial SSU rRNA". It matches the Rfam family "Bacterial small subunit ribosomal RNA", at positions 1185 to 1490 of the family's 1533-position model. The record is from RNAcentral. Lineage: Bacteria; Bacillati; Bacillota; Clostridia; Peptostreptococcales; Peptostreptococcaceae.